RNAcentral lists this ribosomal RNA (253 nucleotides) under uncultured bacterium. Its description in RNAcentral is "partial 16S ribosomal RNA". It matches the Rfam family "Bacterial small subunit ribosomal RNA", at positions 524 to 776 of the family's 1533-position model. The record is from RNAcentral.
UACGAAGGGGGCUAGCGCUGCUCGGAAUCACUGGGCGUAAAGCGCACGUAGGCGGACUCUUAAGUCGGUGGUGAAAUCCUGGAGCUCAACUCCAGAACUGCCUUCGAUACUGAGAGUCUUGAGUCCGGGAGAGGUGAGUGGAACUGCGAGUGUAGAGGUGAAAUUCGUAGAUAUUCGCAAGAACACCAGUGGCGAAGGCGGCUCACUGGCCCGGUACUGACGCUGAGGUGCGAAAGCGUGGGGAGCAAACAGG